This 789-nucleotide long non-coding RNA is filed under the name Zonotrichia albicollis (white-throated sparrow). Its description in RNAcentral is "lncRNA (ENSZALG00000007634.1)". Lineage: Eukaryota; Metazoa; Chordata; Aves; Passeriformes; Passerellidae. The record is from RNAcentral.
CUUCCGCUACGAGAGCCUGGCGCGCGGCUGGGAGCUCAUGGCCAUCUGCCUGGCCUUCUUCCCGCCCACGCCCAAGUUCCACUCCUACCUGGAGGGCUACAUCUACCGGCACAUGGACCCGGUCAACGACACCAAAGGGGUGGCCAUCAGCACCUACGCCAAGUACUGCUACAACAAACUGCAGAAGGCGGCGCUGACCGGGGCCAAGAAGGGCCUGAAGAAGCCGAACCUGGAGGAGAUCCGCCACGCCAAGAACGCCAUCUUCAGCCCGUCCAUGUUCGGCAGCUCGCUGCAGGAGAUCGUGGCCAUGCAGAAGGAGCGCUACCCCGACCGGCAGCUGCCCUGGGUGCAGACCCGGCUCUCCGAGGAGGUCCUGGCCCUCAACGGCGACCAGACCGAGGGCAUCUUCAGGUAAAGCCACCCCACGCCCGGGGACACCUCGUGGUGCUGGUGGUGAGCUGGAGGUUCUCGAGAAGGUUGGGGGUUCUGGGGUGGUUCUGCUCUGGUGGGUGCUGGAAGGUCAUGGGGGUUGGUUUGUGGUGGACAACAAAGUGGUGGUGGAACCAGCCAGGUUCUCCUUGGUGCAUGGGGGUUCCUUCAUGGUGGCCACCAAAGUCAUGGCAAGGUCUUGGUGGCACCAAGGUCCCAAAUCUGCUCCAAGUCCAUGGAGGUUGGUUUGUGGUGGACAGCAAAGUGGUGGUGGAACCAGCCAGGUUCUCCUUGGUCGAUGGGGGUUUCUCCAUGGUGGCCACCACAGUCAUGGUGGGGUCUUGGUGGCACCAAGGUCCC